GCCCCUAUAGCUCAGUGGUAGAGUAUGUCACUCGUAUAACGGUAUCUUUAACAAGAUGCUCGUACAAGCGACAUGACAGGGUCCGUCGUUCAAUCCGGCGUGGGGGCA
This is a non-coding RNA of Hypoxylon sp. CI-4A, 108 nucleotides long. The record is from the annotation of a GenBank genome assembly. Lineage: Eukaryota; Fungi; Ascomycota; Sordariomycetes; Xylariales; Hypoxylaceae.